GGUCAUCCCUUGUUCAUUCGUCUUGCGUCCACCAUAAUUGUUCUCUAAACAAUUAAAACAUUCAUCAAUUUAGUAUUUUUAAUUUGACAAAAUCCUUCUCAAGAUUAUUUCUUACCUGGACAUCUAUAACGAUCAUCAUUGUCCAUGGCGCUGAUUGAUUGAAUACUACAAAACGGUACAAAACUGGCGCGGCUUUUUUGGUUGGAUUGAGAAUGAGACGUGUAUAUGCACAGCAGGAACGACCCAGCAGGUUGUAGAACAUGUUGCCAUGAAACUCAUCGUCGGAAUUUCAUUUUCUGUGGAAAAUGCAACUAUUGUGGAGAUUUUCUAGUUUUGAUUUGCAAAAAAUGACAAUCAGUUAAAGAAUUGUUCAAUUAGGAUAAUUACUCGUUUUCUUUUCUCCUGGCAUUUAUGCCUAUUAUUAUUUUUAUUAUUAUUAUUAUUUGCGCAUUAUUGAAUAAGAAGGUUUUGGUUCUGGUGUGGAACAUGUAAUCCAUUGUCAUCAAAGUUGUUUGUUGUAUAUUUUUUGACACACUG
This is a long non-coding RNA of Folsomia candida, 537 nucleotides long. RefSeq lists it as uncharacterized. Lineage: Eukaryota; Metazoa; Arthropoda; Collembola; Entomobryomorpha; Isotomidae. The transcript has 3 exons. The record is from RefSeq and is a predicted model, not a curated record.